Molecule: ribosomal RNA, 529 nt
Filed under: uncultured bacterium
Lineage: Bacteria
Description: bacterial SSU rRNA
Rfam family: Bacterial small subunit ribosomal RNA
Source: RNAcentral
ACCCUUGACAUGUCUGGAAUCCCGAAGAGAUUUGGGAGUGCUCGCAAGAGAACCGGAACACAGGUGCUGCAUGGCUGUCGUCAGCUCGUGUCGUGAGAUGUUGGGUUAAGUCCCGCAACGAGCGCAACCCUUGUCAUUAGUUGCUACGAAAGGGCACUCUAAUGAGACUGCCGGUGACAAACCGGAGGAAGGUGGGGAUGACGUCAAGUCCUCAUGGCCCUUAUGGGUAGGGCUUCACACGUCAUACAAUGGUCGGGACAGAGGGUUGCCAACCCGCGAGGGGGAGCCAAUCUCAGAAACCCGAUCGUAGUCCGGAUUGCAGGCUGCAACUCGCCUGCAUGAAGUCGGAAUCGCUAGUAAUCGCGGAUCAGCAUGUCGCGGUGAAUACGUUCCCGGGUCUUGUACACACCGCCCGUCACACCAUGGGAGUGGGUUUCACCAGAAGUAGGUAGCCUAACCGCAAGGGGGGGCGCUUACCACGGUGGGAUUCAUGACUGGGGUGAAGUCGUAACAAGGUAGGCGUAGUGCU